RNAcentral lists this unclassified non-coding RNA (260 nucleotides) under Cladophialophora sp. RNAcentral describes it as "partial contains 5.8S ribosomal RNA, internal transcribed spacer 2, and large subunit ribosomal RNA". Lineage: Eukaryota; Fungi; Ascomycota; Eurotiomycetes; Chaetothyriales; Herpotrichiellaceae. The record is from RNAcentral.
AACGCACAUUGCGCCCCUUGGUAUUCCGGGGGGCAUGCCUGUUCGAGCGUCAUUACACCAAUCAAGCACCGCUUGGUAUUAGGCCCUCGUGUCCCCCUCGCGGGGUCGCGUGCCUCAAAACAUUCGGCGAAGUCUCAUCGGCUUUGGGCGUAGUAGAAUCUUCAAAACGUCCUAGGGGCCGGUCGGGUCUUCCGCCGUCAAACCACCAUACUUUUUUACAGGUUGACCUCGGAUCAGGUAGGGAUACCCGCUGAACUUAA